Molecule: ribosomal RNA, 449 nt
Filed under: uncultured bacterium
Lineage: Bacteria
Description: partial 16S ribosomal RNA
Rfam family: Bacterial small subunit ribosomal RNA
Source: RNAcentral
AACGAACGCUGGCGGCAUGCCUAACACAUGCAAGUCGAACGAGACCUUCGGGUCUAGUGGCGCACGGGUGCGUAACGCGUGGGAAUCUGCCCUUGGGUUCGGAAUAACUCGCCGAAAGGCGUGCUAAUACCGGAUGAUGUCGUAAGACCAAAGAUUUAUCGCCCAAGGAUGAGCCCGCGUAAGAUUAGGUAGUUGGUGAGGUAAAGGCUCACCAAGCCGACGACCUUUAGCUGGUCUGAGAGGAUGAUCAGCCACACUGGGACUGAGACACGGCCCAGACUCCUACGGGAGGCAGCAGUGGGGAAUAUUGGACAAUGGGCGAAAGCCUGAUCCAGCAAUGCCGCGUGAGUGAUGAAGGCCUUAGGGUUGUAAAGCUCUUUUACCCGGGAUGAUAAUGACAGUACCGGGAGAAUAAGCCCCGGCUAACUCCGUGCCAGCAGCCGCCGCCG